RNAcentral lists this ribosomal RNA (253 nucleotides) under uncultured bacterium. RNAcentral describes it as "partial 16S ribosomal RNA". It matches the Rfam family "Bacterial small subunit ribosomal RNA", at positions 524 to 776 of the family's 1533-position model. The record is from RNAcentral.
UACGUAGGUGGCAAGCGUUGUCCGGAUUUAUUGGGUUUAAAGGGUGCGUAGGCGGUCCUAUAAGUCAGUGCUGAAAUAUCCCGGCUUAACCGGGAGGGUGGCAUUGAUACUGUAAGACUUGAGUAAAGUUGAGGUUGGCGGAAUUGACGGUGUAGCGGUGAAAUGCUUAGAUAUCGUCAAGAACACCUAUUGCGAAGGCAGCUAACUAAGCUUUAACUGACGCUGAGGCACGAAAGUGUGGGGAUCAAACAGG